Molecule: ribosomal RNA, 435 nt
Filed under: uncultured bacterium
Lineage: Bacteria
Description: bacterial SSU rRNA
Rfam family: Bacterial small subunit ribosomal RNA
Source: RNAcentral
GAACGCGAAGAACCUUACCAAAUCUUGACAUCCUCUGACCCCUCUAGAGAUAGAGUUUUCCCCUUCGGGGGACAGAGUGACAGGUGGUGCAUGGUUGUCGUCAGCUCGUGUCGUGAGAUGUUGGGUUAAGUCCCGCAACGAGCGCAACCCUUAAGCUUAGUUGCCAUCAUUAAGUUGGGCACUCUAAGUUGACUGCCGGUGACAAACCGGAGGAAGGUGGGGAUGACGUCAAAUCAUCAUGCCCCUUAUGAUUUGGGCUACACACGUGCUACAAUGGACAAUACAAAGGGUAGCGAAACCGCGAGGUCAAGCAAAUCCCAUAAAGUUGUUCUCAGUUCGGAUUGUAGUCUGCAACUCGACUAUAUGAAGCUGGAAUCGCUAGUAAUCGUAGAUCAGCAUGCUACGGUGAAUACGUUCCCGGGUCUUGUACACACC